GCUGCUUACUGCUAGUUAGGGGUUAACGGUAAAAAAAAAAGUUAAGAAAGUUUAAAAAAUGUAAUAAGUUAAAACAAAAGUUUAAUAACGAGUUUUAAAAAGUUUCAAAAAGGGGGGCGGAGCUAACCACCGAGCUGAUCAGACGCCAUUGCUGACAGCUCCUGCUCUAAUCUUUACUAUCUCGCUUCAAUAUGGAGAAUCUCCAUAGAGCCCACCAUCCUAGACCCAUACUCCGACUUGCGACACCGAGCUGCAUCGAUCAAUGCCCUUCUUUUAAAAAAAAAAGACGACACCAAAACGGCAACGUAUGGCCGGGGCCUACUCCACGCAGCCACUGCCUGACCUGAAGGCGCUCCUCGGCGGAGUUUACCAAGGCCUGGCACCUAACUUGACUACCGAACCCCAUCCCAGUCUGGUGGACCACAUGCCUGCCAUGGGACGACGUUCCCAGAAAGCCAGCAACCAGACAGAAGGGAGAGACAUAGGGGCGGUGUUACAACAACCCGCUAAGCCCAAACCGACCCCAGAAGAAAGCCAAACAGCUACCGCACAAAGGGACCACACUGAUCAACCAGGGAGCACCGACUUCGGCACCAUACCACCAGCUCCCCCAGGGGGAUCGCCACCAGCGACCAAACAUGACCUGCAGAUGCUCCUGCAUGAUUUCCACAAAAUGCUGGCGAAGGAGCUUGCAGGACUCAGAGCUGACUUACAAAGCACAAACGACCCGGUGCUUGCCACAGAGGCUGACAUGACAGAAGUCACAACAAAUUUGACAAGCUUACAGGCCUCGGUGCAACAGCUCCAAAAGUCCCAACACAAUCUGACCCUGCACCUGAAUGCCCUAGAGAACAGCCAUAGACGCAAUAAUAUCAAAAUCUGCGGCAUUCCAAUGAGUGUCACAUCAGAAGAGCUGCCACAUUACAUAAGAAGGCUAAUAGCAAUAAUAUUACCUCCAGUGUUGGCAAGAAAACUGGUAACCGUCGGCAUAUACCGGGUAGCAGGCCCCCCAAGAGCUCCCUCACAAACAGCACGUGAUGUCAUCCUACGCUGUAUAUCCUCACUAGACAAGGGACAGAUAAUGGCGGCACUGCGGGGCAAAACCCCACUAUCGUUUGAGAACUCCAGCCUAACCUCUUAUCAAGACCUAACGAGGGCCACCCUCCAAUGGCGCCGGUCACUCCACCCAGUGACCCAACAACUGCGAGCAGCCAACAUGAGCUACAGGUGGGGGGCACCAGGAUCGCUGCUAGCCACUCACAACGGGACUACCCACACACUUACCUCUCUUGCAGAAGCCACAACCUUUCUUGAAACUCUGGGACUGAAAGCGGCGGACACACAAACCCUAGAGGGAACCUGGGACCCGGAUAACAGUGUCCCAUUCAUCCCACGCACCGCCCCAGCACACCAACAGUCCACAUGAAUGCAGCUGAAAGAAACAAUCCCAAGGACACUGCUUAGAGAUUAUGAAUAACCGGGCUCUACGGACACCACUAAUGAUAGAAUGUUUAUUUACCUGUUGAUAUGUUACUCAGCAUAGCGCAGCUCAAAUUAGGGCUCGAGGGAUAGCGACUUAUACCUAUACUUACGUUAAGAAUGUUCAAAAUAUGCCUUUUGAAUUACCCCUGGGUGUAUUCUUUAAUAAAAAGUAUGUGUUUGUGGGGAAGUUUGAAUAGCCAACCAGCUAAACUACUCCAAAAUGGAACAUGGACACAGCGUAAAACUUCAAAGUUAGAAAAAACUGAAUGGCUGUGUCUCAAAUGUGCCCCUUUAACAUUCACAUAUACCUUGCAAAGGUCCAUACGGGGGUAUUGCUGUACUCAGAUGACAUAGCUGUGCAACAUAUGAACUACUGUAUUAUACAGUCGUAGCACACAUAAGUUUUGCAAAAUAUACUGUGUAAACUCACUUUGUGUGUCAAAAAGGUAGAAUUUUUUUUUUUUAACCUUACUUAUAGCAAUGCCCAGUAGGAAGGCUGAGCUAGGUAGCCCACUUACUAUUACUUACUAUAGCCCACUAUAACAGACAGGCACACAUACAUACAGACACACACACAAGACACACAUACAUACAAACAGACAGACACACAGACAUGCACACAUACACACACAUAAGACAUACAUACAAAGACACAUAUACAUACAAAGACACACACACACACACAACAUAUUUUAGUCACCCUCCUGUUUCCUACCUUUUAGGUGCAGGAGAGUGACUUUCCCUGGGGUCCAGUGGUGGCACAGGUGGAUGGGAGUCAGAGUUCCCACUCUGACUCCCUCUGCUUCCUCCCGCGUGUUCUAUGUGUUAGCUGGGAGGAGUGACGUGUGGUUACUUCCUCCCAGCUCUGUAUGAUGUAAUCACAGGGGGCCCGGUCGUGCUGUUAAAGUGCCCAGCACUGACCGGGGCCCCCUUACAAUCCACAUCCAUCGGGUGGCCCUGACAGCAUGGUCCACCCGAUGGACGCCUUGGACGGCGGCCCUGGCGGUUUGCCGCACGGGCUGGGGCAGCAAAUGGUGAUGGCGGUACCAGGUCGCAGGGGUACCACCGGCUCGCAUCCGCCCACCUAAUCUCUGAAAUUGAGGAAAUCCAUACCGCCCACCUGGAAUCCUGAAACGCCCACUAGUAGGCGGUAUGGACCAGGUUGACGACCCAUGGUGUAGUUAGAAUAUGUAGCCUGAUCAAGUGCUCCAAAGUGGGACACGGAUGCAUCAAAACCCUCCAUGAAAAUUCACACUUAAAAACCUGAACUUGUCACGUCUCUUUUACAGCACUGUAAGUUCACAAAAUAGUGUCUAGGUCAUACAUAGGCAUAUUGUUUUACUCAGAAGAUGUAACUGAGCAUAAUUUGGGGGGUUUUAUGGCAGUGGUAAAUAUCAAGUGUAAGAAAUGCUCAGCAAAAAAUGCAACAUAUAUGUAAAAAUGCAAUUUUUGUUUCUCCCCACCACAAACAUUGACAUCAAAUGGUGACAAGUUAAGGCACAAUAUACACCAUAUAAGAUACCCUGGGGUGUCUGCUUUAUCAAAUGAAAGCACUUUGUGGGGUUAUUUGAACAGUCACACUGCUAUAAUACCCUAAAAUAAGAAAAAUCCAUCUACGAAAAUUCUAAUUAUAGAAACUGAAAUAGCAUUGUCUCUUAUAUGGCAUUGUAGCUUCACAGAAUAGAGCCAAAGGCAUGCAAUGGGGGUAUUGUUAUACUCAGCAGAUGUAGCUGAACACAAUAUGGGGUUCUGUGCAGGAAUAGCACACACCAGCUUUACAAAAUACACAUUACAAAAACCUUGUUUUAUGUGUAUAUGCCAAAAUAGAGAAAAAACACAAUUUUACUCCAAUAUUUAGCAAAGAUUGGCGAUGAAAUGGCUAUGUAAAAAGAUUCAAACUAACCUUAGGUAAAUAGCCUGUGAUGUCUACUUUAUAUAAAUAUAUACUUUUGUGUGGCAAUUUUGUUUUCUGUGAUGGCUACUAAACCUACAAGACAAACAUACCAACUUCUAAAAUUGUUUCACAUUAAAAUAUUAUUUUAGUCCUUGUAUUUUGUGACCUGUAACUUUCAAAAUAAGCUGAAAUCCUAUACAUAUUAUGUACUCUAUAAAUCAAGACACAUAAAUGAAUUUAUUUCAAAUUACUUUUUCUAAGCUGGACAUAUUAUGCACACGCUAUUAUUGCCAAAACUGUGAAUUUAUUUUGUUGUUGUUUUUUCC
This 3702-nucleotide long non-coding RNA is filed under the name Pelobates cultripes (western spadefoot toad). The record is from RNAcentral. Lineage: Eukaryota; Metazoa; Chordata; Amphibia; Anura; Pelobatidae.